UAGGGAGACCUAAUCCAUUUAGAAAUGUUAAGGAAAUUACCAUAACAACCUAAAUUGGUCUAACCUAGGUCGGUCGAGAUUGGGGAAAUCUUUCAAAGUAUUAUUUGGCUUAGUUCAAACUAAAAAAACAUAUAGGAAAACCACAGCAACUAACGAAAGUUAGACUGCUGGAAUAAGUUCCAGUCAGAACCUUGAAAACUGCAUAAGAGAAAGAGUAAAAAAGCAGGCAGUCUUUAUUGGACUGCAAGUGGUCAAGCUAAUAAGGGC
This 267-nucleotide unclassified non-coding RNA is filed under the name Cuspidothrix issatschenkoi NRERC-654. Its description in RNAcentral is "partial 16S-23S ribosomal RNA intergenic spacer". Lineage: Bacteria; Bacillati; Cyanobacteriota; Cyanophyceae; Nostocales; Aphanizomenonaceae. The record is from RNAcentral. RNAcentral also lists the same sequence under 1 other name.